RNAcentral lists this ribosomal RNA (483 nucleotides) under uncultured bacterium. Its description in RNAcentral is "bacterial SSU rRNA". It matches the Rfam family "Bacterial small subunit ribosomal RNA", at positions 8 to 483 of the family's 1533-position model. The record is from RNAcentral.
AGGGUUUGAUCCUGGCUCAGAUUGAACGCUGGCGGUAUGCUUAACACAUGCAAGUCGAACGGUAACAUAGCUAGCUUGCUAGCUGAUGACGAGUGGCGGACGGGUGAGUAAUGCAUAGGAAUCUGCCUAUUAGUGGGGGACAACCUGUGGAAACGCAGGCUAAUACCGCAUAAGCCCUACGGGGGAAAGCGGGGGAUCUUCGGACCUCGCGCCAAUAGAUGAGCCUAUGUCAGAUUAGCUAGUUGGUGAGGUAAUGGCUCACCAAGGCGACGAUCUGUAGCUGGUCUGAGAGGAUGAUCAGCCACACUGGGACUGAGACACGGCCCAGACUCCUACGGGAGGCAGCAGUGGGGAAUAUUGGACAAUGGGCGAAAGCCUGAUCCAGCAAUACCGCGUGUGUGAAGAAGGCCUGAGGGUUGUAAAGCACUUUCAAUAGUGAGGAAUACCUGGGGGUUAACACUCCCCAGACUGACAUUAGCUAUA